GCAGAUUGUAAAGAAAUAUUCCAUAGAUCAAGAUGAGUACCAUAUUUGCAGCUAUUGUGUUUUCUCUGUUUCUUGUGAGUUGUAGUUUUGGUCAGCAAUUCUCAGAAUUGGACGGAAAUAAAAACCAGAAACUGGAAUACGCUGAAUUUGAAGGUUUAUUCAAUAUGUAUGAUUUGGAUGGUAACAGUGAAGUUAGUCUGGCGGAGGUUAUAACGAAAGCUGGAUUGACACAAGCUCAAGCCCUCGGUGUAUUUAAAGUAUAUGAUAUAAAUGGAGACGGAAGAGUGGAUAUAUCUGAAUUAGGAAAUUUAUUCUCUAAAUUUGAUAUUAAUGGCGAUGGGUCAGUGUCUCCAACCGAAUUCAAUCAACACGCUAAAGAUUUACAGCCAACAGGAAGAUGAACUGAUUCACAUC
This is a long non-coding RNA of Patella vulgata (common limpet), 414 nucleotides long. RefSeq lists it as uncharacterized. The transcript is spliced from 6 exons. Lineage: Eukaryota; Metazoa; Mollusca; Gastropoda; Patellidae. The record is from RefSeq and is a predicted model, not a curated record.